GUUUCCGUAGUUAAAUUAUAUAACGGUGGCUUUUCAAGCCACAGUUUUUGGAGAGAAGCCAAGCGGGAAUU
RNAcentral lists this transfer RNA (71 nucleotides) under Columbina picui (picui ground-dove). RNAcentral's name for it is "tRNA-Glu". It matches the Rfam family "tRNA". Rfam says of the family: Transfer RNA (tRNA) molecules are approximately 80 nucleotides in length. Their secondary structure includes four short double-helical elements and three loops (D, anti-codon, and T loops). Further hydrogen bonds mediate the characteristic L-shaped molecular structure. tRNAs have two regions of fundamental functional importance: the anti-codon, which is responsible for specific mRNA codon recognition, and the 3' end, to which the tRNAs corresponding amino acid is attached (by aminoacyl-tRNA synthetases). tRNAs cope with the degeneracy of the genetic code in two manners: having more than one tRNA (with a specific anti-codon) for a particular amino acid; and 'wobble' base-pairing, i.e. permitting non-standard base-pairing at the 3rd anti-codon position. Lineage: Eukaryota; Metazoa; Chordata; Aves; Columbiformes; Columbidae. The record is from RNAcentral.